AUUGAACGCUGGCGGCAGGCCUAACACAUGCAAGUCGAACGAGUGGCGGACGGGUGAGUAAUGUCUGGGAAACUGCCCGGUAGAGGGGGAUAACUACUGGAAACAGUAGCUAAUACCGCAUACCAUCAGAGGGGCCCAGAUUGGAUUAGCUUGUUGGUGGGGUAAAGGCUCACCAAGGCGACGAUCCCUAGCUGGUCUGAGAGGAUGACCAGCCACACUGGAACUGAGACACGGUCCAGACUCCUACGGGAGGCAGCAGUGGGGAAUAUUGCACAAUGGGCGCAAGCCUGAUGCAGCCAUCCCGCGUGUAUGAAGAAGGCCUUCGGGUUGUAAAGUACUUUCAGCGGGGAGGCGUUACCCGCAGAAGAAGCACCGACUAACUCCGUGCCAGCAGCCGCGGUAAUUC
This 406-nucleotide ribosomal RNA is filed under the name uncultured bacterium. RNAcentral's name for it is "partial 16S ribosomal RNA". It matches the Rfam family "Bacterial small subunit ribosomal RNA", at positions 30 to 526 of the family's 1533-position model. The record is from RNAcentral.